RNAcentral lists this ribosomal RNA (492 nucleotides) under uncultured bacterium. Its description in RNAcentral is "partial 16S ribosomal RNA". It matches the Rfam family "Bacterial small subunit ribosomal RNA", at positions 29 to 507 of the family's 1533-position model. The record is from RNAcentral.
AGUGAACGCUGGCGGUAGGCCUAACACAUGCAAGUCGAACGGCAGCACAGUAAGAGCUUGCUCUUACGGGUGGCGAGUGGCGGACGGGUGAGGAAUACAUCGGAAUCUACUUUUUCGUGGGGGAUAACGUAGGGAAACUUACGCUAAUACCGCGUACGACCUACGGGUGAAAGCAGGGGAUCUUCGGACCUUGCGCGAUUGAAUGAGCCGAUGUCGGAUUAGCUAGUUGGCGGGGUAAAGGCCCACCAAGGUGACGAUCCGUAGCUGGUCUGAGAGGAUGAUCAGCCACACUGGAACUGAGACACGGUCCAGACUCCUACGGGAGGCAGCAGUGGGGGAUAUUGGACAAUGGGCGCAAGCCUGAUCCAGCCAUACCGCGUGGGUGAAGAAGGCCUUCGGGUUGUAAAGCCCUUUUGUUGGGAAAGAAAAGCAGCAGGUUAAUACCCCGCUGUUCUGACGGUACCCAAAGAAUAAGCACCGGCUAACUUCGUG